CACAGCCCUGGUGCCCUGAAAUGAGCGCACCUGGAAGAGCGCUCCUCCCUUUGCGAGCCUCUCAAAGCAGGUAGGAUGGGCAGAGAGGGGCUGUACAGUGCCGCCGAGAACAGCGGGAGAAGCCCUGCCUUGACUGGGAGCAGCCGUUAGGUGGCAGCACAGGGCACGUCUUUCCAGGUCUUUCCACAACGGAUGGGCCAAAGUGAGGCACCGAAUUUUCUAGGAAGGGAUAACCUAGAACCAUAUCAGGGCAGGCAUUUGGGCUGAGACCAGCGAAAAGUGAGUCAGCCAAGACUCCCCGUGACACCGUGCUGUCUGGCAGCCAGCUGGGGCACGCGGGUGUCUGCUUCCUCUGGUAGAAGAUUCUACGGCAGACCUUAGGCCCAAUAGAAUAUUUUCACCCUGACAUCUAGAUUUUAACUUUUAUUUUAAUGUUUUUUUCCCUCUCUCUAGUUUUGUUUUUUGUUUCUUUGAGAUAGCAUCUCAUGUAGCCCAGGCUGGCCUCAGACUCCCUCUGUGAUCAGGAAUGACCUUAAAUGACGGAUCUCAUUGCUUCUGCCUCCAAGGGCUGAGCUUAAAUGAAUGCCACACGACACCUCGAUCUUAAAGGCAAGCCAUCCGAAGCCCAGACAUUGGCCUGCCCUCCUGUUGGUUCUGUGCUGGGAACCCAUUCCAGUGUGGGUAUGGCUUCACUAGUGCCAGCCGAGUAUAUGUCUGUCCUCUGGUUUCAAAGUAUUAAUGGACGUCUACUUGGUAUAACUAAAGUACUAUUAACUUGAGCCAGGCAUGGUGACAUAGGUCUGGAAUCAUCCCUAGGGAGGUGGAGGUAGGAGGUUAGAAGUUCAAAGCCAGCCUCAUCUACAUAGUUGGCUAUGCAGCAAAUUCAAGGUCAGCUUGGGCUACAUGAUAGCCUGUCUCUGGGGUAGGGAGUUGGGGGACUAAUUUGAUUUUUCCUAGUUUCUAGUGUGAAACUAGGGGGAGAAUCUUUGCACGUGGUAGAGUGGGCUUAUGGGACACGGGUAAAGAAAAACAAGCUUUCUUUCUGCCUCCAGCUACCUAUCCACUUGGGAGAAACGUGAGAGCCUAUAGUCCAGAUAGCGGGAGUCUGCAGCCUCAGCGCUCCAUGCUGAAUGGAAUGCAAGCCUUUUUAGGGAACUAGCUGGUACAAUCGUGCCUCUUAUCAAGAGUGGCCUAGCAUUACAGGGCCGGGCCAUGCACACCCAAAAUAACUCACCAGUCCUCUCAAAUGACAUUAGUAAAACCAAAUGUAUUCCUAGAAUUUAAACACAGGCUCAAACAACUGCCCCCGUAACAAAACCGUGUUCUCAGACUUCAACUAAUUUAGGGGACAGGUCAGUGAUCAAAGCAAAGAAAGGCCUUAUUAUAAGGUAGCAUUGGCUUGAAGGCUCUGGCCUCAGAAGGGAAAUUUCCCUAGAAAACAACUCCUGAUUCAAAGCUUACUGGUUAAAAAAAAAAAAAAAAAAAAAAAAAAAGAAGCAAGUCCAGGACUCCCAGCAGGCGGAGUCUGCGACUCUGAAACUAUGAAGUCCCAGAAGCAGCUUCAGCUCUCCCUCAAUGGACACUUGAAACCACACGGUGCAGGCAUGCCUCAGAAAAAGGCAGCCUUUAUGCUGAGCAGACCUCCUUGGAGCCUCAGCAUGGUGGUACACACUUGUAAUCCCAGCACUAGGGAGGCUAAGGCAGAAGGGAGUUUGAGGACCAGCCUGGGCUACAUAGAGACUUUCAAGCAAACCUAGGCUAUAAGCAAGAAUCUAUCUCCAAAAAGUGAAUACUAAGGUUCAUACUAAGGCAGGGCACUGGAUAUCACAAGAUCUUAUGAGGUGCAGGCAGACAGGAGGAUCGGGACUUCCUUGCCUAUAUAGCUAGCUAAAGGACAAGCUGGGAUACAUGUGACCCAUUCUGAGUCUACCCAGGAGAAAAGACCACCAAUAACAGAACAUCACACUUCCUUUGCUAAAACAGUUCUUAGCUCAAGGAGUACAGAUUCUAGAACACACACCAAACAUGUGGGAAAUGGCAAUUAAGACAUGCCACAUUGGGAAAAGAAUAAACACACAAAACAAAAC
Molecule: long non-coding RNA, 2087 nt
Filed under: Mus musculus (house mouse)
Lineage: Eukaryota; Metazoa; Chordata; Mammalia; Rodentia; Muridae
Description: long non-coding RNA chr11:86894219-86896306
Source: RNAcentral